This 97-nucleotide ribosomal RNA is filed under the name uncultured Glomus. Its description in RNAcentral is "partial 18S ribosomal RNA". It matches the Rfam family "Eukaryotic small subunit ribosomal RNA", at positions 1737 to 1831 of the family's 1831-position model. The record is from RNAcentral. Lineage: Eukaryota; Fungi; Glomeromycota; Glomeromycetes; Glomerales; Glomeraceae.
GCUGGGUUGCUGAGAAAGUUGAACAAACUUGGUCAUUUAGAGGAAGUAAAAGUCGUAACAAGGCUUUCCGUAGGAUGAACCUGCGGAAGGAUCAUUA